This 453-nucleotide ribosomal RNA is filed under the name uncultured Rhodoferax sp. RNAcentral describes it as "bacterial SSU rRNA". It matches the Rfam family "Bacterial small subunit ribosomal RNA", at positions 925 to 1382 of the family's 1533-position model. Lineage: Bacteria; Pseudomonadati; Pseudomonadota; Betaproteobacteria; Burkholderiales; Comamonadaceae. The record is from RNAcentral.
ACAAGCGGUGGAUGAUGUGGUUUAAUUCGAUGCAACGCGAAAACCUUACCACCUUGACAUGUACGGAAGCCUUAGAGAUAGAGGCGUGCUCGAAAGAGAGCCGUAACACAGGUGCUGCAUGGCUGUCGUCAGCUCGUGUCGUGAGAUGUUGGGUUAAGUCCCGCAACGAGCGCAACCCUUGUCAUUAGUUGCUACAUUCAGUUGGGCACUCUAAUGAGACUGCCGGUGACAAGCCGGAGGAAGGUGGGGAUGACGUCAAGUCCUCAUGGCCCUUAUAGGUGGGGCUACACACGUCAUACAAUGGCUGGUACAAAGGGUUGCCAACCCGCGAGGGGGAGCUAAUCCCAUAAAGCCAGUCGUAGUCCGGAUCGUAGUCUGCAACUCGACUACGUGAAGUCGGAAUCGCUAGUAAUCGUGGAUCAGAAUGUCACGGUGAAUACGUUCCCGGGUCUU